RNAcentral lists this ribosomal RNA (253 nucleotides) under uncultured bacterium. RNAcentral's name for it is "partial 16S ribosomal RNA". It matches the Rfam family "Bacterial small subunit ribosomal RNA", at positions 524 to 776 of the family's 1533-position model. The record is from RNAcentral.
UACGAAGGUCCCAAGCGUUAUCCGGAUUUAUUGGGUUUAAAGGGUGCGUAGGUGGUCAGGUAAGUCAGUGGUGAAAUCUCCAAGCUUAACUUGGAAACUGCCGUUGAUACUAUCUGUCUUGAAUAUUGUGGAGGUGAGCGGAAUAUGUCAUGUAGCGGUGAAAUGCUUAGAUAUGACAUAGAACACCAAUUGCGAAGGCAGCUCACUACUCAAUCAUUGACUCUGAGGCACGAAAGCGUGGAGAUCAAACAGG